This 253-nucleotide ribosomal RNA is filed under the name uncultured bacterium. RNAcentral's name for it is "partial 16S ribosomal RNA". It matches the Rfam family "Bacterial small subunit ribosomal RNA", at positions 524 to 776 of the family's 1533-position model. The record is from RNAcentral.
UACGGAGGGGGCUAGCGUUGUUCGGAAUUACUGGGCGUAAAGCGUGCGUAGGCGGAUUAUUAAGUUAGGGGUGAAAUCCCGGGGCUCAACCUCGGAACUGCCUCUAAAACUGGUAAUCUAGAGAUAUGGAGAGGUAAGUGGAAUUCCUAGUGUAGAGGUGAAAUUCGUAGAUAUUAGGAGGAACACCAGAGGCGAAGGCGGCUUACUGGACAUAUACUGACGCUGAGGCACGAAAGUGUGGGUAGCAAACAGG